UACGUAGGGUGCGAGCGUUAAUCGGAAUUACUGGGCGUAAAGCGUGCGCAGGCGGUUUUUUAAGCCAGAUGUGAAAUCCCCGGGCUUAACCUGGGAAUGGCAUUUGGGACUGCAAGGCUCGAGUGCGGCAGAGGAGACUGGAAUUCCAGGUGUAGUGGUGAAAUGCGCAGAUAUCAGGAAGAACACCCGUGGCGAAGGCGGCUCUCUGGAACGCAACUGACGCUGAGACGCGAAAGCGUGGGGAGCAAACAGG
RNAcentral lists this ribosomal RNA (253 nucleotides) under uncultured bacterium. Its description in RNAcentral is "partial 16S ribosomal RNA". It matches the Rfam family "Bacterial small subunit ribosomal RNA", at positions 524 to 776 of the family's 1533-position model. The record is from RNAcentral.